AAUCGGAGNCUACCAUGCAAGUCGAGGGGUAACAGGAGGUGCUUGCACCUUGCUGACGACCGGCGCACGGGUGCGUAACGCGUAUACAAUCUACCUUUUGCUGAGGGAUAGCCCAGAGAAAUUUGGAUUAACACCUCAUAGUAUCAUAUUAUCGCCUGGUAAAAUGAUUAAAGGUUACGGCAAGAGAUGAGUAUGCGUCCUAUUAGCUAGAUGGUGUGGUAACGGCACACCAUGGCUACGAUAGGUAGGGGCCCUGAGAGGGGGAUCCCCCACACUGGUACUGAGACACGGACCAGACUCCUACGGGAGGCAGCAGUGAGGAAUAUUGGACAAUGGGCGCAAGCCUGAUCCAGCCAUGCCGCGUGCAGGAAGACUGCCCUAUGGGUUGUAAACUGCUUUUAUACAGGAAGAAACACUCCCUCGUGAGGGAGCUUGACGGUACUGUAAGAAUAAGGAUCGGCUAACUCCGUGCCAGCAGCCGCGGUAAUACGGAGGAUCCAAGCGUUAUCCGGAAUCAUUGGGUUUAAAGGGUCCGUAGGUGGAUAAUUAAGUCAGAGGUGAAAUCCUGCAGCUCAACUGUAGAAUUGCCUUUGAUACUGGUUAUCUUGAGUUAUUAUGAAGUAGUUAGAAUAUGUAGUGUAGCGGUGAAAUGCAUAGAUAUUACAUAGAAUACCAAUUGCGAAGGCAGAUUACUAAUAAUCAACUGACACUGAUGGACGAAAGCGUGGGGAGCGAACAGGAUUAGAUACCCUGGUAGUCCACGCCGUAAACGAUGGUCACUAGCUGUUCGGACUUCGGUUUGAGUGGCUAAGCGAAAGUGAUAAGUGACCCACCUGGGGAGUACGUUCGC
This 850-nucleotide ribosomal RNA is filed under the name uncultured bacterium. RNAcentral describes it as "bacterial SSU rRNA". It matches the Rfam family "Bacterial small subunit ribosomal RNA", at positions 41 to 889 of the family's 1533-position model. The record is from RNAcentral.